RNAcentral lists this ribosomal RNA (272 nucleotides) under uncultured bacterium. RNAcentral's name for it is "partial 16S ribosomal RNA". It matches the Rfam family "Bacterial small subunit ribosomal RNA", at positions 524 to 794 of the family's 1533-position model. The record is from RNAcentral.
UACGGAGGGAGCUAGCGUUAAUCGGAAUUACUGGGCGUAAAGCGCGCGUAGGUGGUUCGUUAAGUUGGAUGUGAAAGCCCCCGGGCUCAACCUGGGAACUGCAUCCAAAACUGGCGAGCUAGAGUGUGGCAGAGGGUGGUGGAAUUUCCUGUGUAGCGGUGAAAUGCGUAGAUAUAGGAAGGAACACCAGUGGCGAAGGCGACCACCUGGGCUAAUACUGACACUGAGGUGCGAAAGCGUGGGGAGCAAACAGGAUUAGAUACCCCCGUAGU